RNAcentral lists this ribosomal RNA (484 nucleotides) under uncultured bacterium. RNAcentral describes it as "partial 16S ribosomal RNA". It matches the Rfam family "Bacterial small subunit ribosomal RNA", at positions 29 to 523 of the family's 1533-position model. The record is from RNAcentral.
AGUGAACGCUGGCGGCGUGCUUAACACAUGCAAGUCGAACGAGAACUGAUUAUAGCUUGCUAUAAUUGUCAGUUAAGUGGCGCACGGGUGAGUAAUGUAUAGGUAAUAUGCCUCUUACUAAGGGAUAUCAAAUGGAAACGUUUGCUAAUACCUUAUACUCCUUAUUAACAGAAGUUAAUAAGGGAAAGAUUUAUUGGUAAGAGAUUAGCCUGUAUUGUAUCAGUUAGUUGGUGGGGUAAUGGCUUACCAAGACUAUGACACAUAACUGGUUUGAGAGGAUGAUCAGUCACACUGGAACUGAGACACGGUCCAGACUCCUACGGGAGGCAGCAGUGGGGAAUAUUGCACAUUGGACGAAAGUCUGAUGCAGCAACGCCGCGUGGAGGAUGACACAUUUCGGUGCGUAAACUCCUUUUAUAUGAGAAGAUAAUGACGGUAUUAUAUGAAUAAGCACCGGCUAACUCCGUGCCAGCCGCCGCGGUAA